Molecule: long non-coding RNA, 849 nt
Filed under: Homo sapiens (human)
Lineage: Eukaryota; Metazoa; Chordata; Mammalia; Primates; Hominidae
Description: long intergenic non-protein coding RNA 1485
Source: RNAcentral
ACAUGGCCAGUGGGUGCUCCAGCCCUGAAGGCUGGACAAAGGGCAGCUGCUUUGUGGGACCCGGGUAGAGCUUGGCCACGUGGGCCGAGUGCCCGGUUUCUGUUUUUCUCCCGGUGCAGGAAAACAUGAAGAACGGGGAAAGUAGCUGCCGCAUGCCAAUGUGAAACUCCGAGGAGUCUAGCCAUUCUGAUCUGGCCUUCCAGGUCAUUAGGAGGCUCUGCCAUCGUGUGAGGAGGGAAAGCCUGCUGUCUGGAGAGCACACUGGUCUCCAGCGUGGGGAGAGAGAGCACUUUCGGGCUUUGCUGAGGAGGGUCUUCAGAAAAAAGAGUACUGCCAACAAGAAGGCCCAAUCAAGAUCCUCCCACAACAAGAGCAGAUUGUGAGCGUGGCAAGCUCUAUGCUGAGCACUGGAAGGACAAAGAGAGAUUGGGCACAGACUUCUCACUGAUCCAGGUGAUGAAGAGCUCACAUCUGAGAGGAUGUGACCAUGGAUGACCCACCAGAAUGUCAUGGGAUCCAGCUACAGCCAAGGAAGCACAGAGCACCGUGGGAGCGAUUUAUUGUGCUUGGGGAUGGGGAAGGGGACAUGGGAGGAGCCAUAUUGAGAAAGUAGCAUGGGUACUUGGCUUCACAGAGUGUGGCAGCUUUCAUCAGGAAGUGAUGGUGGGGGAACAGCGUCUCUGGCGGAGGGAAGCAGCAGGUGCAGAGGUGCAGAGGUGUGAGGAGUCUGUCACAUUCUGGGAAGGGAGUAUGGUUGGGUGACAAUGCAAGACAGAGAAAGCAAGGAGGGAAGGAGGGGCCUAGCCUGAGGAAUAAAGAAUAAUAAAAGCAGGAAAACAAUUGCUGAGA